This 21-nucleotide microRNA is filed under the name Glycine max (soybean). RNAcentral's name for it is "gma-miR2118a-3p". Lineage: Eukaryota; Viridiplantae; Streptophyta; Magnoliopsida; Fabales; Fabaceae. The record is from miRBase by way of RNAcentral.
UUGCCGAUUCCACCCAUUCCU